Molecule: ribosomal RNA, 331 nt
Filed under: uncultured eukaryote
Lineage: Eukaryota
Description: partial 18S ribosomal RNA
Rfam family: Eukaryotic small subunit ribosomal RNA
Source: RNAcentral
CCCUUAGAUGUUCUGGGCCGCACGCGCGCUACACUGAUGCAUUCAACGAGUUUUGUUUGCUCCUUGGCCGAGAGGCCUGGGCAAUCUUUUGAACUUGCAUCGUGAUAGGGAUAGAUUAUUGCAAUUAUUAAUCUUGAACGAGGAAUUCCUAGUAAACGCAGAUCAUCAAUCUGCAUUGAUUACGUCCCUGCCCUUUGUACACACCGCCCGUCGCACCUACCGAUUGAAUGGUCCGGUGAAGCCUCGGGAUUGUGGUUGGUUUCCUUUAUUGGAGAUUGAUUGCGAGAACUUGUCUAAACCUUAUCAUUUAGAGGAAGGUGGAGUCGUAACA